CAUAUUUCAUGAACAGUGUUAGUGACAUUUUCUGCUCCACCCGGUGUCCUUCCGCCACUGUCAGACGGUGGCGUAACAGCACCGCCGCGGCUAUUGAUUUCAUCUGCAGGUAAGCUAAAUCCUUUCCUAAACAAAUCCUAGGACCUGCGUUGAAAGAAACAAAUUUGUAUGAAUCUUGGGUCUCGAAUCUUUUGCCAUCUUCUGAUAACCAUCUUUCCGGUUUGAAUUCUAAGCAAUCUUCGCCCCAUAUAAAUUUCAUCCGACCGGUUGAAUAUAUAGAAUAUGUGACAUUUGAUCCCGCUGGGAUAAAUGCUCCGUUCGGCAAGACAUCAUCGGCGAUUACAUGCUUUGAGUCUUGUGGCACUGAUGGGUAAAGCCUUAGUGUUUCAGAUAGUGCGGCUUUAAGGUAUAUCAUUCGAUCUACUUCUUCAAACACUAAUGGUUCAUCAACCCAUUUGGAAGUGUCGGAUCCACGUGUCUCCAUUAGAAUAGUGCAAAUCUCGAUGAGAAUUUUGUCUUCCACCCUUGAGUUUUGAUUUACUAACCAAAAAAACCAACAAAGGGCAACUGAUGACGUGUCACGUCCAGCUAGGAUGAAAUUGAGUGCCACGUGCUGAAGGAAUUCAUCUGAAUAGGAUUCUUUUUUUUUCAUGAAACGGGAUAACAAAUCGUCG
This 674-nucleotide long non-coding RNA is filed under the name Gossypium barbadense (sea-island cotton). RNAcentral describes it as "long non-coding RNA (GBAR_LNC018811)". Lineage: Eukaryota; Viridiplantae; Streptophyta; Magnoliopsida; Malvales; Malvaceae. The record is from RNAcentral.